CAGUCGCCGCGGUAAUACGGAGGGUGCAAGCGUUAAUCGGAAUUACUGGGCGUAAAGCGCACGCAGGCGGUCUGUCAAGUCAGAUGUGAAAUCCCCGGGCUUAACCUGGGAACUGCAUCUGAAACUGGCAGGCUAGAGUCUUGUAGAGGGGGGUAGAAUUCCAGGUGUAGCGGUGAAAUGCGUAGAGAUCUGGAGGAAUACCGGUGGCGAAGGCGGCCCCCUGGACAAAGACUGACGCUCAGGUGCGAAAGCGUGGGGAGCAAACAGGAUUAGAUACCCCUGUAGUCCCUGUCUCUUAUAC
This 301-nucleotide ribosomal RNA is filed under the name uncultured bacterium. RNAcentral describes it as "partial 16S ribosomal RNA". It matches the Rfam family "Bacterial small subunit ribosomal RNA", at positions 509 to 807 of the family's 1533-position model. The record is from RNAcentral.